RNAcentral lists this non-coding RNA (100 nucleotides) under Sarcina ventriculi. RNAcentral's name for it is "Clostridium ventriculi Guanine sequence". It matches the Rfam family "Purine riboswitch aptamer". Rfam says of the family: Riboswitches are metabolite binding domains within certain messenger RNAs that serve as precision sensors for their corresponding targets. Allosteric rearrangement of mRNA structure is mediated by ligand binding, and this results in modulation of gene expression. A class of riboswitches that selectively recognises guanine and becomes saturated at concentrations as low as 5 nM. The record is from Rfam by way of RNAcentral. Lineage: Bacteria; Bacillati; Bacillota; Clostridia; Eubacteriales; Clostridiaceae.
UAAAAUAAAAGUUAUAUCGCUUAUAUAAGCUCAUAAUUUAGGUUGAGCGUUUCUACCCACUACCGUAAAUAGUUGAUUUAUAAGUAACCAUUAAGUUCUA